UGUCGUCAGCUCGUGUUGUGAAAUGUUGGGUUAAGUCCCGCAACGAGCGCAACCCUUAUCCUUUGUUGCCAGCGGUCCGGCCGGGAACUCAAAGGAGACUGCCAGUGAUAAACUGGAGGAAGGUGGGGAUGACGUCAAGUCAUCAUGGCCCUUACGACCAGGGCUACACACGUGCUACAAUGGCGCAUACAAAGAGAAGCGACCUCGCGAGAGCAAGCGGACCUCAUAAAGUGCGUCGUAGUCCGGAUUGGAGUCUGCAACUCGACUCCAUGAAGUCGGAAUCGCUAGUAA
Molecule: ribosomal RNA, 291 nt
Filed under: Escherichia coli
Lineage: Bacteria; Pseudomonadati; Pseudomonadota; Gammaproteobacteria; Enterobacterales; Enterobacteriaceae
Description: partial 16S ribosomal RNA
Rfam family: Bacterial small subunit ribosomal RNA
Source: RNAcentral